AUGAACGCUGGCGGCGUGGAUAAGGCAUGCAAGUCGAAUGGGUUUAGACCCAUGGCGAACGAGGUAGUAAUACAUAGGUAACGCACCCCGAAGUCGGGCAUAACUAGUCGAAAGAUUAGAUAAUUCUCGAUAGUCUCUUCGGAGUAAAGAUUUAUCGCUUUGGGAGCGGCCUAUGAAGUAUCAGCUAGUUGGUAAGGUAAUGGCUUACCAAGGCUAUGACGCUUAGGGGACCUGAGAGGGUGACCCCCACCGAUGGAACUGAGACACGGUCCAUACACCUACGGGUGGCUGCAGUCGAGAAUCUUCCGCAAUGGACGAAAGUCUGACGGAGCGACGCCGCGUGGUCGAUGAAGUCCUUCGGGACGUAAAGACCUUUUAUAGGGGAGAAAGUUUAUUGAUAGUACCCUAUGAAUAAGAGGUUGCUAAACUCGU
RNAcentral lists this ribosomal RNA (432 nucleotides) under uncultured bacterium. Its description in RNAcentral is "bacterial SSU rRNA". It matches the Rfam family "Bacterial small subunit ribosomal RNA", at positions 29 to 506 of the family's 1533-position model. The record is from RNAcentral.